UACGUAGGGUGCGAGCGUUAAUCGGAAUUACUGGGCGUAAAGCGUGCGCAGGCGGCGCGUUAAGACAGGUGUGAAAGCCCCGAGCUUAACUUGGGAAUUGCGCUUGUGACUGGCGAGCUGGAGUGUGGCAGAGGGAGGUGGAAUUCCACGUGUAGCAGUGAAAUGCGUAGAGAUGUGGAGGAACACCGAUGGCGAAGGCGACAUCCUGGACCGGUAUUGACGCUGAGGCGCGAAAGCCAGGGGAGCAAACGGG
RNAcentral lists this ribosomal RNA (253 nucleotides) under uncultured bacterium. Its description in RNAcentral is "partial 16S ribosomal RNA". It matches the Rfam family "Bacterial small subunit ribosomal RNA", at positions 524 to 776 of the family's 1533-position model. The record is from RNAcentral.